Molecule: long non-coding RNA, 643 nt
Organism: Manihot esculenta (cassava)
Lineage: Eukaryota; Viridiplantae; Streptophyta; Magnoliopsida; Malpighiales; Euphorbiaceae
Exons: 3
Source: RefSeq, a predicted model, not a curated record
ACAGUAUACGACGACAUUUUAAGCUUUUAGCUUCCGUAAUCUCAUCCGGCGUAGCUAACCCAGAGUCACGGUCAAUAAAUCGAAGGGCAAGGAUUGAAUUUGCCUGUCUGGUUUCGAUAUUAAGCUUUGAAAUGAAGGGACAGCGAUGGAGUCAUUUGCCUUCUGAUAAGAUGAGUUUAAAUCCUCCCCUAGAUGGUGGAUGCCGUGCGCACAUAGAAUGAAGAAUGAUCAGAUGAAGACGUGCUGAGUAAAAGUAAAUCCUACCUGUGGCCCUCUCAGGUGAGCAUGAACAUCUCGGAAGCAGUUAACAGCACUAGUGAUGAUGUAGAAAAGGAUGAAGAGGAAUAAAUUCUCAAGAGAUUGAGAAAUAAAUUCUAUUCUUUAUUUAUAAUUCCUUUAUUUCAUAAUUUUUAUUGAUUUUAGUUUUUCACAAAAAAUAUUUUUUAUUAAUUUUUCAAUUAUAUUAAUUUUAAAAAUAUUUAAUAAAAUCAAAAAAAAUAUUUUGAAUAUUAUUUAAAAAAAUAAUAAUUAAUGAGAAAUUAUUUUAGAAAUAAAAUAAAAUUAAAAUAAUUAAUUUAUAUGUUAACAAUAAUGGAUUAUAAUUUUAAGACAAUUAAAAAAAUAAAUAAAAAUUAUAAGACGG